UUUUGGCUAAGAUCAAGUGUAGUAUCUGUUCUUAUCAGUUUAAUAUCUGAUAUGUGGGCCAUGUGUCCACAACGAUAUUAAAUUUAUUUUUUGUGGGGUAGGGCCCACCGCAGUGGCUUGCCACUGGGGUCCUCGCGUGUCGCCCGGGCGUUGCACUACUGCCCGGUGCCUGGCGCACACCAACCAAAUCUAAUCACAAAUUAUUGUUCGGAAAACAAGAUUUGACGGUGGAAGAGCAGAGACGGCGGCUAUACAUGCGUUCGGUAUCAACGCCCUCUCCCUCCCUGGGCCAUCCGCCUCGUUUCUCCUACGAGCUUGAUGAUGCUCGAUUCAGACUUCAGAGGCCGCCUACCCCCACAUCAAGCUAGUAAACUGCGGCGGCGCCCGGUGUGAGCUGGGCGGAUGUGGCGGUGGGCGACAGUCCGGGGAAUCUGAUACAGCGGACGCCGGGAGAACCCGUCGGAGAAGAGGUGAGCGCGACGUCUCCUGAAAUCAGAUGCACAAAUUUGCCGGGUGGUGAGUUCUUGAGGGCAGACAGUUGUGUACUAGCGCAAGGAGAGAAGAAGCAUCAUAUCACACUGAAGGUCGAUUACUACUCCAAUUAACUACGGUGAGUUGUUUGCGUCUGUUACUCUCUUGUCAUACCAGGACUGCCUACUGAAUUUCCUGUUGUACCAAGUCAAUUUACGCUGUUGAUUGUGCAUAACAAACUGAUAAUAUUGUAGUUACUGGAAUCUGUAUCAGAUAUAUGAUGUGCCAAUAACUUGUUUGCCUUUUACUGUAAGGUGCCUGAAUCCUGACUAGGCAAUUACAUAACUAAAUCUGAUAAUAAUGCUGAAGAACAUAGAUCCAUUUAUAUUGUGUCUGUUGCCACUCGAGCUGCUUUCUACGUUGCUGCAUUUUCCACGUGUAUGCUUAGGAAGAACAGCAGGAUUAAAGCCAUGAAAUACGAGAUAUACAUGUUGGCAUCCUGUUCUUAUCUCGCUUCCUUGACACAUCAGUAUGUCUGCACACUUUCUCCAAAUCAUAUUUGAUACAGAGUUCUAAUGCCUUACAGGCGAGUGAAUGCCCUAUGUUCCGUUCCUCACUGGGUUCAGAAAAGCCGUAUCUAAUUUUAUUUAGCACUCAUUAUACAAAUGAUAUGUGUAUGUUGUCGGAUUUCUCAUGGCUUUUCCGUGGCGAAUAUUUCCCUUAAUUGAAGAACAGACCCAAGCUUUGGGUGAAGCAAGAACCAUCAGUAGGCACUGUACCACUGUAGCAUUUGGCGCCCAAUUAAAGCUUCUGAACCAUAAUGGGAAAGGCUUCAGUGAAAAGGGUUUCUUUGAAAAAUGAACUCUGCUAUAUUUUGAUUCGAUAUUUACCUUUUUUUUGCGAAGGUUUCAUGCAUUGCCUCUACAGUUAUCCAGAUGAACUACAGAAGAUGGCUGCAGCAAUUGAUAAAAUCGGCAGUACUUGUUUUAAUGUUAACAAAAAUGCGCCGUUCAAUAUGAUGUUACUCCAAGGGGGAUGUCCCGUUGAAGGGAUGGGUGCUUGAAGGUUCGGCAUGGAGUGAUGUAGCCAAGCAUGUUAAGAGCAAUUCAUUCCCUUGGUUACAUAUUGUUACCCAGACCAAGACUAUGAUGUAGGUUAUGAUAUGAUAUGAUCAAUUCCAAUUUGACAGAGGAAAGACUGACAGUUACAUAUGGUGAACGUGUAUCCUUCAGAAUUAACGCUUUCCUAUAUUUGGGAAUCUUGAAUCUUCAGAUAGCAUCGUUAGUUUCUUCUUCUUUUAUUGCGAUGAGACAAUGCGUCGAAUAUCUCAAUCAUGUAUUCCUGUUGUAGAAAACAAGCUGACAGUAGCAAUAUUCCGCAAGUACUUUUUUAUAAUAAAAAAGAGAGCAAUGCCCGGAGUUCAAUUUUAGGAAGCCUACAAUUCUCUGAUGUUGCAGGCUUAGUAGUAAUUGUAAAAUAAUAAGUAAAACACUCACUAUUUAGCUAUUUGCUCAACUACUUUUCAGGGCCGUUUGUGACUUUAUAAAGUGGGACUAAAGCCUGAUUUGAGGAGGAUGUACUUGCUGAAGCCGAAGAUGGAGUUCGUCAAAUGUUACAGAAAGAACAAUGAUGUAGACCCUCUAAAAAGAAAUUUAGAGGGCACACAAGACUAGUUGAAAACUGAAACACAACAUAUCACCAGGCACCAGCAGACUGAUUUCUGAAUUUACACAGUAAUUCAGAUAUUGAGGCAGGCAUUUUGGGUCUACCUGUUUUGGUGAACAUGUCGAAUUCUGAGAUUAUACUCAUACAAAUAUAUGCACACACCAGUGUUAUUUAUAUGGGAUUUUCUCUCAUGUAGCUCUAGCAUGUUGUUUUGGAGGAUCAGCGGAGAUUUUAACUCCAAAAUGCUUUCAGCCCGCAGUGUAUAAAUCCAGCCCAAAAUUCA
Molecule: long non-coding RNA, 2419 nt
Organism: Lolium perenne
Lineage: Eukaryota; Viridiplantae; Streptophyta; Magnoliopsida; Poales; Poaceae
Source: RefSeq, a predicted model, not a curated record